Molecule: small nucleolar RNA, 188 nt
Filed under: Lynx canadensis (Canada lynx)
Lineage: Eukaryota; Metazoa; Chordata; Mammalia; Carnivora; Felidae
Also listed under: 1 other name
Description: Small Cajal body specific RNA 16 (ENSLCNG00005017910.1)
Rfam family: Small Cajal body specific RNA 16
About the family: scaRNAs are a specific class of small nuclear RNAs which localise to the Cajal bodies and guide the modification of RNA polymerase II transcribed spliceosomal RNAs U1, U2, U4, U5 and U12. ACA47 belongs to the H/ACA box class of guide RNAs as it has the predicted hairpin-hinge-hairpin-tail structure, the conserved H/ACA-box motifs and is found associated with GAR1.
Source: Rfam by way of RNAcentral
AUGGUCCGGGGAAAGGCUCCCGUGUUGCUGAACCUGCCCGGUUGUGGGUACAGCCUUGUACCAGGCAGUCCGAUCCUGACCUCAGUAAAUUACCAGCAACAGUUUUUUUUCUGGGGUUUGAAUUUGCAAUAAUGGGCGUGAACAUUCUAGCCGCAGUUUGAUGAUCACGUAUGAUACUGCAAAUAGGA